RNAcentral lists this ribosomal RNA (747 nucleotides) under Gyrinicola japonica. RNAcentral describes it as "partial large subunit ribosomal RNA". It matches the Rfam family "Eukaryotic large subunit ribosomal RNA", at positions 374 to 926 of the family's 3401-position model. Lineage: Eukaryota; Metazoa; Nematoda; Chromadorea; Rhabditida; Pharyngodonidae. The record is from RNAcentral.
CUUUGAAGAGAGAGUUCAAGAGGGCGUGAAACCGCUGAGAAGGAAACGGAUAGAGUUGACGAAACACAGCGGCAUUCAUCCGACCUGUCCUGGCAACUGGCUGCCCGGUAUAGAUCGUUCUCCUCGGGGAAUGACGGUCUGGCUGUCAGCUUAGUCGGCUGGUUGGUGCUUUUGCCGUUGGUAUGCGCGGAGACGUUCGCUGUGGCGUGUCGACGUCGAUGUCAGAGGACCAGUGCCAAAUGGUACUGGAAACCUGACUCGGCUUAGGUAUGUUCGCGGUGAAACGGUAACCACAUACGCCGCUUGCUAGUUGCGUAGCUGCCUCUGCAUAGUUGGGUGCGUUGUUGGGCGAUCGCGUGCGAUUUGUCUACAGCUGUAUUCCGGCUUGUUUCUGGCUAGUUACGUUGGCGGUGUAUCUCCGUGUAAAAGUCAGCCACCUAUCCGACCCGUCUUGAAACACGGACCAAGGAGUUUAGCAUAUGCGCAAGUCAUUGGGUGGUAAACCUAAAGGCGUAAUGAAAGUAAAGACUGCUUCGAGCGGUUGAUAUGGGAUCUGUGCUUGCUUGCAGGCGCAGCGCACCAUAGCCCCGUUCUUGUUGCUUGCAAUAGGGCGGAGGUAGAGCGUAUACGCUGAGACCCGAAAGAUGGUGAACUAUGCCUGAGCAGGAUGAAGCCAGAGGAAACUCUGGUGGAAGUCCGAAGCGGUUCUGACGUGCAAAUCGAUCGUCUGACUUGGGUAUAGGGCGA